AUAUUGGCGAGAGACCGAUAGCGAACAAGUACCGUGAGGGAAAGAUGAAAAGAACUUUGGAAAGAGAGUUAAACAGUACGUGAAAUUGCUGAAAGGGAAACGCUUGAAGUCAGUCGCGUCGUCCGGGAAUCAGCCUUCCUUCUGGUUGGUGUACUUCCUGGUCGACGGGCCAGCAUCAGUUUUGACCGGUGGAAAAAGUUCGAGGGAAUGUGGCACCUCCGGGUGUGUUAUAGCCCUCGUUCGUAUACAUCGGUUGGGACUGAGGAACUCAGCACGCCGCAAGGCCGGGAUUCGUCCACGUUCGUGCUUAGGAUGCUGGCAUAAUGGCUUUAAUCGACCCGUCUUGAAACACGGACC
RNAcentral lists this ribosomal RNA (357 nucleotides) under uncultured fungus. Its description in RNAcentral is "LSU rRNA". It matches the Rfam family "Eukaryotic large subunit ribosomal RNA", at positions 320 to 667 of the family's 3401-position model. Lineage: Eukaryota; Fungi. The record is from RNAcentral.